CUAGAACCCUCAGUUUGUUUUUCAGAGUCCAUCAUCUCUCAUGGUUCGUCUCCCCCUCUGACAUACUCCCCUUUUCUUCCUUGAGUGACAGUGUCUUAGUAGGAAAGACCUGUCAGGUGUCUCCACGUAGACGGUGGGCCCGGGUCUGGCUGCAAAGCACUUGAACCUGUGUCAGCAUCUGGCCCCACAGACUUCCGCCCGCCCCUUCCUGAGGCCACUGGGCCAAGUCACCUUCCCUAGCAAUUUCCUUACCGCUCUCCCUGGAGAUCUUUCUGAUACCUCUGAAAGUAAUUAGAAACAGCAGCUUCCCCUAGAAAUGUGUUCCAAAGCCCUGGAAGAGGAGACGGGAACCCCGAUGGGGCUAUGAUGCCAAAGUCCCUAAAAGACUAAGGCUCAGCCCACACGGGGAUCGAGAAGCAUUGCAGGCCCCACUCAUCUUGGCCGGGGGGCAGGAGAAACAGAAGCAGAAGCAGUCGUGAGGAGCAGGGUGGGGGAGCUACCAGAAGACUGUGUGCAAGCGCCUGCAGUAGGAAACUGAGGCCACCCCACCCUCACUGCAUUCCUCAGGCUCUCCGGGAAAGCCGAACCACCGGCAUGUGCAGAAAUGGAUACAAAGAGAUUUACUUCAGGACUUGAUUCACCCUAUUGUGGAGAAUCAAGGAUAGGCCAGCAGUCUGGAGACCCAGAGUAGAGUUGAUGUUGCAGCUCCAGUCCAGAGCAUUUGAAAUUCCUUCUUGAAGUAGCUGGAGCUCCAACCAUCUUUCAGGAAUCGCCAUUGUCCAAGCAGCGUUUGACUCCUGAUGCAAGAAUUUAAGAAAUGGAUAAAGAAGCUGAGAAGGACAACAACGAGAUAAAAAGACCAGAUGACUAAAAAAAUCAAUUCUGACUUGGACAUUCUCUAAUUCCUUAAGAUUCUACAGAGGAGG
Long non-coding RNA from Zalophus californianus (California sea lion), 926 nucleotides. RefSeq lists it as uncharacterized. The transcript has 5 exons. The record is from RefSeq and is a predicted model, not a curated record. Lineage: Eukaryota; Metazoa; Chordata; Mammalia; Carnivora; Otariidae.